UUAGUGGCGGACGGGUGAGUAACGCGUGGGUAACCUGCCUUGUACUGGGGGACAACAGUUGGAAACGACUGCUAAUACCGCAUAAGCGCACAGCUUCGCAUGAAGCAGUGUGAAAAACUCCGGUGGUACAAGAUGGACCCGCGUCUGAUUAGCUGGUUGGUGAGGUAACGGCCCACCAAGGCGACGAUCAGUAGCCGGCCUGAGAGGGUGAACGGCCACAUUGGGACUGAGACACGGCCCAAACUCCUACGGGAGGCAGCAGUGGGGAAUAUUGCACAAUGGGGGAAACCCUGAUGCAGCAACGCCGCGUGAGUGAAGAAGUAUUUCGGUAUGUAAAGCUCUAUCAGCAGGAAAGAAAAUGACGGUACCUGACUAAGAAGCCCCGGCUAACUACGUGCCAGCAGCCGCGGUAAUACGUAGGGGGCAAGCGUUAUCCGGAUUUACUGGGUGUAAAGGGAGCGUAGACGGUUUUGCAAGUCUGAAGUGAAAGCCCGGGGCUUAACCCCGGGACUGCUUUGGAAACUGUAGAACUAGAGUGCAGGAGAGGUAAGUGGAAUUCCUAGUGUAGCGGUGAAAUGCGUAGAUAUUAGGAGGAAC
Molecule: ribosomal RNA, 597 nt
Filed under: uncultured Lachnospiraceae bacterium
Lineage: Bacteria; Bacillati; Bacillota; Clostridia; Lachnospirales; Lachnospiraceae
Description: bacterial SSU rRNA
Rfam family: Bacterial small subunit ribosomal RNA
Source: RNAcentral